Molecule: ribosomal RNA, 344 nt
Filed under: uncultured Verrucomicrobiota bacterium
Lineage: Bacteria; Pseudomonadati; Verrucomicrobiota
Description: bacterial SSU rRNA
Rfam family: Bacterial small subunit ribosomal RNA
Source: RNAcentral
AACGAACGCUGGCGGCGUGGAUAAGACAUGCAAGUCGAGCGCUGAUUACGGGGUAGCAAUAUUCCGUAAUCGGAGCGGCGCAAGGGUGCGUAACACGUGGGUAAUCUGCCAUGAAGUUUGGAAUAACUCGCUGAAAGGCGAGCUAAUGCCGGAUGUGAAAACCGAGGGGCAUCUCUUGGUUUUUAAAGCUGGGGACCGUAAGGCCUGGCGCUUCAUGAUGAACCCGCGGCCUAUCAGCUAGUUGGUAAGGUAACGGCUUACCAAGGCUAAGACGGGUAGCUGGUCUGAGAGGACGACCAGCCACACUGGAACUGAGACACGGUCCAGACACCUACGGGAGGCUG